Molecule: ribosomal RNA, 1011 nt
Filed under: uncultured bacterium
Lineage: Bacteria
Description: bacterial SSU rRNA
Rfam family: Bacterial small subunit ribosomal RNA
Source: RNAcentral
UGCAGUCGAACGGCAGCACGGAGCUUGCUCUGGUGGCGAGUGGCGAACGGGUGAGUAAUAUAUCGGAACGUACCCUGGAGUGGGGGAUAACGUAGCGAAAGUUACGCUAAUACCGCAUACGAUCUAAGGAUGAAAGUGGGGGAUCGCAAGACCUCAUGCUCGUGGAGCGGCCGAUAUCUGAUUAGCUAGUUGGUAGGGUAAAAGCCUACCAAGGCAUCGAUCAGUAGCUGGUCUGAGAGGACGACCAGCCACACUGGAACUGAGACACGGUCCAGACUCCUACGGGAGGCAGCAGUGGGGAAUUUUGGACAAUGGGCGAAAGCCUGAUCCAGCAAUGCCGCGUGAGUGAAGAAGGCCUUCGGGUUGUAAAGCUCUUUUGUCAGGGAAGAAACGGUGAGAGCUAAUAUCUCUUGCUAAUGACGGUACCUGAAGAAUAAGCACCGGCUAACUACGUGCCAGCAGCCGCGGUAAUACGUAGGGUGCAAGCGUUAAUCGGAAUUACUGGGCGUAAAGCGUGCGCAGGCGGUUUUGUAAGUCUGAUGUGAAAUCCCCGGGCUCAACCUGGGAAUUGCAUUGGAGACUGCAAGGCUAGAAUCUGGCAGAGGGGGGUAGAAUUCCACGUGUAGCAGUGAAAUGCGUAGAUAUGUGGAGGAACACCGAUGGCGAAGGCAGCCCCCUGGGUCAAGAUUGACGCUCAUGCACGAAAGCGUGGGGAGCAAACAGGAUUAGAUACCCUGGUAGUCCACGCCCUAAACGAUGUCUACUAGUUGUCGGGUCUUAAUUGACUUGGUAACGCAGCUAACGCGUGAAGUAGACCGCCUGGGGAGUACGGUCGCAAGAUUAAAACUCAAAGGAAUUGACGGGGACCCGCACAAGCGGUGGAUGAUGUGGAUUAAUUCGAUGCAACGCGAAAAACCUUACCUACCCUUGACAUGGCUGGAAUCCCCGAGAGAUUGGGGAGUGCUCGAAAGAGAACCAGUACACAGGUGCUGCAUGGCUGUCGUCAGCUCG